RNAcentral lists this ribosomal RNA (295 nucleotides) under uncultured bacterium. RNAcentral describes it as "partial 16S ribosomal RNA". It matches the Rfam family "Bacterial small subunit ribosomal RNA", at positions 335 to 646 of the family's 1533-position model. The record is from RNAcentral.
UUCCCUACGGGACGCAGCAGUGGGGAAUAUUGCACAAUGGGGGAAACCCUGAUGCAGCAACGCCGCGUGAAGGAAGACGGUUUUCGGAUUGUAAACUUCUGUUCUUAGUGAAGAAGAAUGACGGUAGCUAAGGAGCAAGCCACGGCUAACUACGUGCCAGCAGCCGCGGUAAUACGUAGGGGGCAAGCGUUAUCCGGAUUUACUGGGUGUAAAGGGAGCGUGGACGGCAGGGCAAGUCUGGAGUGAAAGGCGGGGGCUCAACCCCCGGACUGCUCUGGAAACUGUACGGCUGGAG